Molecule: ribosomal RNA, 498 nt
Filed under: uncultured bacterium
Lineage: Bacteria
Description: bacterial SSU rRNA
Rfam family: Bacterial small subunit ribosomal RNA
Source: RNAcentral
GAUGAACGCUGGCGGCGUGCUUAACACAUGCAAGUCGAACGAAGCAAUUGAGUCGAUCCCUUCGGGGUGAAGCUUGAUUGACUGAGUGGCGGACGGGUGAGUAACGCGUGGGUAACCUACCUCAUACAGGGGGAUAACAGUUGGAAACGGCUGCUAAUACCGCAUAAGCAUACGGCAUCGCAUGAUGCAGUGUGAAAAACUCCGGUGGUAUGAGAUGGACCCGCGUCUGAUUAGCUAGUUGGUAAGGUAACGGCUUACCAAGGCGACGAUCAGUAGCCGGCCUGAGAGGGUGAACGGCCACAUUGGGACUGAGACACGGCCCAGACUCCUACGGGAGGCAGCAGUGGGGAAUAUUGCACAAUGGGGGAAACCCUGAUGCAGCGACGCCGCGUGAAGGAAGAAGUAUUUCGGUAUGUAAACUUCUAUCAGCAGGGAAGAAAAUGACGGUACCUGACUAAGAAGCCCCGGCUAAUUACGUGCCAGCCGCCGCAGUAAAAC